This 243-nucleotide ribosomal RNA is filed under the name Staphylococcus aureus. RNAcentral's name for it is "partial 23S ribosomal RNA". It matches the Rfam family "Bacterial large subunit ribosomal RNA", at positions 1024 to 1268 of the family's 2925-position model. Lineage: Bacteria; Bacillati; Bacillota; Bacilli; Caryophanales; Staphylococcaceae. The record is from RNAcentral.
AACCCAUACCGCCGGCUAAGGUCCCAAAUGAUAGAUUAAGUGGUAAACGAAGUGGGAAGGCACAGACAGCCAGGAUGUUGGCUUAGAAGCAGCCAUCAUUUAAAGAAAGCGUAAUAGCUCACUGGUCGAGUCGUCCUGCGCGGAAGAUGUAACGGGGCUCAAAUCUAUAACCGAAGCUGCGGAUGCCGGUUUACCGGCAUGGUAGGGGAGCGUUCUGUAGGCUGAUGAAGGUGCAUUGUAAAG